This 460-nucleotide ribosomal RNA is filed under the name uncultured bacterium. Its description in RNAcentral is "partial 16S ribosomal RNA". It matches the Rfam family "Bacterial small subunit ribosomal RNA", at positions 338 to 795 of the family's 1533-position model. The record is from RNAcentral.
CCUACGGGUGGCAGCAGUGAGGAAUAUUGGUCAAUGGGCGGAAGCCUGAACCAGCCAAGUAGCGUGCAGGAUGACGGCCCUACGGGUUGUAAACUUCUUUUAUACGGGAAUAACGCGCCUUACGUGUAGGGCUUUGCAUGUACCGUAUGAAUAAGGACCGGCUAAUUCCGUGCCAGCAGCCGCGGUAAUACGGAAGGUGCGGGCGUUAUCCGGAUUUAUUGGGUUUAAAGGGCGCGUAGGCCGCAUGUCAAGUGUGCGGUGAAAUGUCCGGGCUCAACCCUGGCCUUGCAGUGGAAACUGGCGUGCUUGAGUGCGCGGAAAGUAGGCGGAAUUCGUCGUGUAGCGGUGAAAUGCUUAGAUAUGACGAAGAACCCCGAUUGCGAAGGCAGCUUGCUGCAGCCGAACUGACGCUGAUGCUCGAAAGCGCGGGUAUCGAACAGGAUUAGAUACCCUGGUAGUC